CGAGACCCACGCCAACAGUUGCCAGCUCGGUCCUCCCGGGAUGGAGGGGACGACUGUUGGGACCGCCUCUGCUAAAGAGGAGGAAGGAAUGGGCAACGGUAGGUCAGCAUGCCCCGAAUUAUCUGGGCUACACGCGGGCUACAAUGGGUGGGACAAUGGGUAUCGACACCGAAAGGUGAAGGCAAUCUCCUAAACCCAUCCUUAGUUCGGAUUGUGGGCUGCAACUCGCCCACAUGAAGCUGGAAUCCGUAGUAAUCGCGUUUCAACAGAACGCGGUGAAUACGUCCCUGCUCCUU
Molecule: ribosomal RNA, 296 nt
Filed under: uncultured Methanomicrobiales archaeon
Lineage: Archaea; Methanobacteriati; Methanobacteriota; Methanomicrobia; Methanomicrobiales
Description: partial 16S ribosomal RNA
Rfam family: Archaeal small subunit ribosomal RNA
Source: RNAcentral